GUGGAAGGCGGGCGCCGUGAGGAACCGGGAUGUCCGGCUGCUGGUACCUCGGGGUACCUUGUAACGUGCUGCUGGAUGACCAGUGUCAGCCCAAGGCUGCCGAAGUGCUCCCUGAAAGGCCACGUGUGGGACAACACUGUCUUCUUCAGUACCAUGCUGGGCAGAAGAUGGCUUUCAGCUGAUGGAGAACAGGAGUAGGAGCACAGCAAAC
Long non-coding RNA from Calidris pugnax (ruff), 211 nucleotides. RefSeq lists it as uncharacterized. Lineage: Eukaryota; Metazoa; Chordata; Aves; Charadriiformes; Scolopacidae. The record is from RefSeq and is a predicted model, not a curated record. The transcript has 3 exons.